RNAcentral lists this ribosomal RNA (708 nucleotides) under Streptomyces sp. LK2321.2. Its description in RNAcentral is "partial 16S ribosomal RNA". It matches the Rfam family "Bacterial small subunit ribosomal RNA", at positions 77 to 801 of the family's 1533-position model. The record is from RNAcentral. Lineage: Bacteria; Bacillati; Actinomycetota; Actinomycetes; Kitasatosporales; Streptomycetaceae.
CCUUCGGGGUGUUUUAAUGGCGAACGGGUGAGUAACACGUGGGCAAUCUGCCCUUCACUCUGGGACAAGCCCUGGAAACGGGGUCUAAUACCGGAUACGACACACGACCGCAUGGUCUGUGUGUGGAAAGCUCCGGCGGUGAAGGAUGAGCCCGCGGCCUAUCAGCUUGUUGGUGGGGUGAUGGCCUACCAAGGCGACGACGGGUAGCCGGCCUGAGAGGGCGACCGGCCACACUGGGACUGAGACACGGCCCAGACUCCUACGGGAGGCAGCAGUGGGGAAUAUUGCACAAUGGGCGAAAGCCUGAUGCAGCGACGCCGCGUGAGGGAUGACGGCCUUCGGGUUGUAAACCUCUUUCAGCAGGGAAGAAGCGAAAGUGACGGUACCUGCAGAAGAAGCGCCGGCUAACUACGUGCCAGCAGCCGCGGUAAUACGUAGGGCGCAAGCGUUGUCCGGAAUUAUUGGGCGUAAAGAGCUCGUAGGCGGCUUGUCACGUCGGAUGUGAAAGCCCGGGGCUUAACCCCGGGUCUGCAUUCGAUACGGGCAGGCUAGAGUUCGGUAGGGGAGAUCGGAAUUCCUGGUGUAGCGGUGAAAUGCGCAGAUAUCANGANNANCNCGGUGGCGAANGCGGAUCUCUGGGCCGAUACUGACNCUUGAGANCCCAAGCGUGGGGAGNNNANANGNUUAGAUACCCUGGUAGUCCNCNNC